CCUUUGAUGUUGGCUUUUCCUGUCACCACAAAACAGAAUUCACCAAGUGUUGGUCAGUUUACCCAUUAACAAUGAACACGAGCUGGGUUUAGACUGCCAUGAGACAAGUU
RNAcentral lists this non-coding RNA (110 nucleotides) under Nipponia nippon (crested ibis). Its description in RNAcentral is "Eukaryotic large subunit ribosomal RNA". It matches the Rfam family "Eukaryotic large subunit ribosomal RNA", at positions 2875 to 2984 of the family's 3401-position model. Lineage: Eukaryota; Metazoa; Chordata; Aves; Pelecaniformes; Threskiornithidae. The record is from Rfam by way of RNAcentral.